ACCCUACGGGGGGCAGCAGUGGGGAAUAUUGGGCAAUGGGCGCAAGCCUGACCCAGCAACGCCGCGUGAAGGAAGAAGGCUUUCGGGUUGUAAACUUCUUUUGACAGGGAAGAGUAGAAGACGGUACCUGUCGAAUAAGCCACGGCUAACUACGUGCCAGCAGCCGCGGUAAUACGUAGGUGGCAAGCGUUGUCCGGAUUUAUUGGGUGUAAAGGGUGCGUAGACGGGAAAUUAAGUUAGUUGUGAAAUCCCUCGGCUCAACUGAGGAACUGCAACUAAAACUGGUUUUCUUGAGUGUUGUGGAG
RNAcentral lists this ribosomal RNA (305 nucleotides) under uncultured bacterium. RNAcentral describes it as "bacterial SSU rRNA". It matches the Rfam family "Bacterial small subunit ribosomal RNA", at positions 335 to 656 of the family's 1533-position model. The record is from RNAcentral.